RNAcentral lists this ribosomal RNA (257 nucleotides) under uncultured bacterium. RNAcentral's name for it is "partial 16S ribosomal RNA". It matches the Rfam family "Bacterial small subunit ribosomal RNA", at positions 524 to 778 of the family's 1533-position model. The record is from RNAcentral.
UACAGAGGUCUCAAGCGUUGUUCGGAUUCAUUGGGCGUAAAGGGUGCGUAGGUGGCGGGGCAAGUCUGGUGUGAAAUCCCGGGGCUCAACCCUGGGCCUGCAUUCGAUACGGGCAGACUAGAGUAUGGCAGGGGAGACUGGAAGUUCCUGGUGUAGCGGUGAAAUGCGCAGAUAUCAGGAGGAACACCGGUGGCGAAGGCGGGUCUCUGGGCCGAAAACUGACGCUGAGGAGCGAAAGCGUGGGGAGCAAACAGGAU